UUAAAAAUAAAGACCCCUGGUUGUAUAAUCAACCUUAUUCUGCUUUCAAAACAGAUGCUUUAAUCGGCCAAGGGGUC
Molecule: transfer RNA, 77 nt
Filed under: Artemia salina
Lineage: Eukaryota; Metazoa; Arthropoda; Branchiopoda; Anostraca; Artemiidae
Description: transfer RNA-Ser
Source: RNAcentral